UUUUAGCGAAACAGAGAUGUGGGUUCGUAUAACGAAGAUUCCGCUGAAACUUUGAACGGAAAAGAUUGCUGGAAAACUGGGAAAUCAGUUCGGGGCUCUUAAAGGUUUUGAUAAGGAAAAUUCUGGUAUAUGGAGCAGCUAUAUGAGAUUAUGAGUUUUGUUCAACGUUAAUAAGCCAUUAGAAGAGAUUUCUUACUGGAAGUCGACAACGAGAACGUUUGGUACAACGCAACUUAUGAAAGGCUCCCACUAUUUUCCUACAACUGUGGAGUUCUUGGACACACACAAAUAGUGUAAAAUUGAGCAAAUUCCAAAGGAAGAACAGCAGUAUGGAGGGUGGUUGAGAGCCUCCUCCCCUCUCAAACGAUUAGGGACUAGGAAUAAAUCGGAAGCCGAGAGAUUUGCUUCUCUCUGUUCAUCGGCAAAACAGAGGAAGAGUUCCGGCGCUAGCUUCGGCAAAAUAGUGGGUGAGAAUACUGGAAGGCAGAUGGCGCUUUGGACGGCCCGAGAAACGCCUCGGAAAAAGCUCUUUGAUAUUAUUACGGCGGCUCAGCCCCUUUCUUCCACAAAAGGCGGCGAGAAAGUUGACGGGAAAAGUCUUGAUAAUCUCAAAAGUAAUAAUAAAUUAUUUGAGCGUGCAGAUAUCAAGAUAUUUG
RNAcentral lists this long non-coding RNA (656 nucleotides) under Linum usitatissimum (flax). Its description in RNAcentral is "long non-coding RNA (LUSI_LNC002396)". The record is from RNAcentral. Lineage: Eukaryota; Viridiplantae; Streptophyta; Magnoliopsida; Malpighiales; Linaceae.